Bubalus bubalis (water buffalo) is the source of this 1233-nucleotide long non-coding RNA. RefSeq lists it as uncharacterized. The record is from RefSeq and is a predicted model, not a curated record. Lineage: Eukaryota; Metazoa; Chordata; Mammalia; Artiodactyla; Bovidae. The transcript is spliced from 3 exons.
AGUUCCUUCCAAGCGCCACGUGUCGCAGGGACCGACUCCUCCCGAUGGCCAGCACCAGAGUCACCAUGUCUGAGCCAAAGCCUGGGGGGUGGCUCGGGUCACACACAAGGCGAGGCUGCGGGGGGUGGGAAUUUGGUGGGUGGUGGGAGGAUGGGUUUCUGGACGGCCUCACCAUUAUCUGCCAGAUCCAGGGAGCUCACUGCGCCAGCAUCACACACCAAGUCUUGUAUCACCUGAGCACCCGCCGAGCGCAGCUGAAGGUGGAAGAGGAUCGUGCUCAGGCCAACAGGCCACAGGUGGGGAGGAUCACGAGCCCAACGGCCCAGCGCUCCCGCCUCGCAGCCCCAGCCCCAAAGGGCAAGUCCCGUGGCUCCGGGCAGGCUGCUCACCUCACACGCGCUGAGGUCCAGGUGUAGGUCAUUAAGGUGCGUGUUGAGCGCCAGGCCUUCCAGAAGCGCCCUGGGAGAGGGUGUCACAGGGGAUAGCGGAAGCUGGAAGAAGGGUCCCCAGAGCAGAGCGCGAACAGCAAGAAGGAACGAUGCCCGGGAGAUCAAGGGUGCGCCCUGGCAGGUCACUCACCGACUUCCCAGAUGGCUGAAGUCUCCUAGGCUGAAAUGGCGGCAGCCCUGACGAUGGUAGAUGGUGUCCACAUCCUGGGUGGGAAGAAAGUACCUCCAACUUGCUUGGGACCACAAGAGCACCAUGGCCUGGACCUCCAGGUAGCUGAAUGUGCAGUCCACCUAUGGAGUGCCUGGGUGAGCUUGGACCAAAGCGCAAGACCCAAAGCGCAAGACCCACCCUCUUGGGAGCCCAGUCCUUUGUGCAGCCUGGAUCUCAGAGCAAGACCUGUCUAGACUCCAGUCCUGCCUGAUGUUGGCAGCCCAGUGCUGUUGGGAGGGCAGAGUCCACAAGGACAAGAUGGACAACGUCACAGAUGCAACCCUCAUCAGGAAAGCUGCUAGAGGGCAAGGGGGCUGUGGCCAGGCCAUUGGGACUCACCCUCAGAGGGAGGCAGGUGUGGAGCAGGUAGGCUCUCCAUCGGAGCAGUGCCUGAGGGGAGAGAGUGUCUCACACCUUGGGCAGGGCAAGAGGCUCCUUCUGCUUGGGCCCCAGUGGCCCUCCCAGGCAGGCUCUGCCCCAGCCAUACCAGGACAUGACCUUGCUCGGCACCCUCCCGCUCUGGCAGCCAGGUUUUCAGCAGCAGUUCUGCCUCCUUGGGCCACAGGAACUUGG